GACAGAGGGUGCAAACGUUGCUCGGAAUCACUGGGCGUAAAGAGCGUGUAGGCGGGAAGGAAAGUCAGAUGUGAAAUCCCCAGGCUCAACCUGGGAACUGCAUUUGAAACUCCCUUUCUUGAAUACCGGAGAGGAAAGCGGAAUUCCUGGUGUAGAGGUGAAAUUCGUAGAUAUCAGGAGGAACACCAGCGGCGAAGGCGGCUUUCUGGACGGUAACUGACGCUGAGACGCGAAAGCGUGGGGAGCAAACAGG
RNAcentral lists this ribosomal RNA (253 nucleotides) under uncultured bacterium. Its description in RNAcentral is "partial 16S ribosomal RNA". It matches the Rfam family "Bacterial small subunit ribosomal RNA", at positions 524 to 776 of the family's 1533-position model. The record is from RNAcentral.